This 1513-nucleotide long non-coding RNA is filed under the name Lupinus angustifolius (narrow-leaved blue lupine). RNAcentral describes it as "long non-coding RNA (LANG_LNC002252)". The record is from RNAcentral. Lineage: Eukaryota; Viridiplantae; Streptophyta; Magnoliopsida; Fabales; Fabaceae.
CGGAUUUCGGGCAGCUCGGCGCGCAGUGUACAAGUAUGAUCUACAACAGACCCUUCAACAUAUCAGAACAACAGGGAAUUUUCCAUUUUGAAUUAUAGUCUAUAGAUACAUAUUGAUUCUCAUUCUUUACAGAUACAUAGAUUGGCCUGAUAUAAUUAGAAACAGAUGCUAAGGCACUUAGGCAUUAGCUUUAGCAAACUACAUUUUGGUUAUAAAUGCUGUUCAUGUGCAAUAUGUUAUUGAAACUUUGAUAUUGAUAAUAUAAGUUAUUGUGCUGAAAGUGAUGAGUUUUGCAGUUUUUAAUUGGUAGAUGCAGUUCUGGAUGCAAAAGAAAGACCUAUGGUGUGUAAAUUCAUACAAUGCUUAUGAGCUUAGCCCAGGUCAAGUUUACUUUUCUAGUUUUACAAUCUCAAGCUCUCAAAAUCAUAAAAAAAAUGUUACAACUAUUAUUUAAAAUACUAAUUUUAUUCUCUCAUUUUUUUCAACCUUAUCAGUUUAGUAUUUCAAAACAAAAAAAAAGAAAAUGGUCCUAAAAUUUCAAAUGUGGAUCAAAUUAGUUCAUUUUGAUCUCAAGUGUUAUAAAAUAUGCUAAAAAUGACUAAUUUGACCCACAUUUAACAUUUUUAGACUAAACUGGUAAGGUCAAAAAAUAUGAGGAAGUAAAAUGAGUAUUUACUCCUUAUUUUAACAUCUAGAGUCCUUAGUUCAUAUCCUUCAGUAUCUGCUCUAAGUUCAAUACAUCUUCUCCAUCUUAAAAUAUGGUAAUCUUGAUAUUAUUAAUACAUCAACUUUGAUAGUUAGAUUUUUUCUUCAUAAAGAUUUUGAUCAUAUAAUAACAGGUUUAUAAAAGAAGAAGAAAAUUGGAUAAAAAGUUCAAUAGGCAAGGUACUCAGAAUUUAGGAAUCUCAUUUCACGAAGCAUAUAUAUAUAUAAUGUAUAUAUAGUGGAAAGUGGAAACAUUAACAUUUAGCCUUACUUCAAAAUUAACAACGUAACAAACAGAAUAAAGUAGUUAAUACUUUUCACUUAAACAUGUUACUCUGACUCUGACAAAGUAGAAAGAAAAAACAGUGACGUGAUUUCAACAUAUUCUAACGUUAACAUAUUCCAACGUGUUCACUCUUAGUAAUGUUGUCAAAACAAUCUAGCCGAACCUUGGUGGUGGUACUGGAAAUGGACCCACUGGUCUUGGAGUUUUUUGAGAAUAAGGAGGUGGUGGAGAAAAGAAGUAAAACGCCGCCGGUGGUAAGGGUGGUAGUAGCGGUGGUGGUGGAGUCUUACGGUGUCUAUGACUUUGAGGUGGUGGGGUGUUGUGGUGGCACCCUGACCCAUUAGGUGGUGUCCAUAACUUGGGUUCAUGACCCAAAUGUGCACCCGAAAUGGGGUAGGAGUAGAUCAGAGAAUAUGAAUUAAAGUGUAAGAAAGCUAAGAGAAUCACAAUCCACAUUUGAAAGCUACUCAUCUUUUUUUCUUCUCUUGUGAUACCCACUUAAAAAGUCUAAAACUUCACACA